Molecule: long non-coding RNA, 339 nt
Organism: Triticum aestivum (bread wheat)
Lineage: Eukaryota; Viridiplantae; Streptophyta; Magnoliopsida; Poales; Poaceae
Exons: 3
Source: RefSeq, a predicted model, not a curated record
CGGGGAUGGAAAAGUGGAAGGGGUGUGCCCAGACUUUUAACAACAGAGGAGUACAAGCAAGCCAUGAUUUAUGUGUUAACAAACCUACCAGAAAUGGAUGAAUAUGUACAGAAGUUUGAAGAUGAGCAGUGGAGGCGUCCUCAACCACCUACUCCAAAGCAAUUGGAAAACUUGAGGCUUAAUGGAGCCGGUCAUGGAAAGCCAAACUUGCUGGAUUGGUUCAAAGAUUAUUGCAUCAAACAUACUAGCGUACCUGAUGAGUUGCGGAGAUUAUCAAGAGGAUGCCGCUUUAAAGUGAAGUCCUAUGAUAUUUAUGAAGUAAAUGGGUACAGGUUUCGC